Molecule: unclassified non-coding RNA, 253 nt
Filed under: uncultured Bacteroidia bacterium
Lineage: Bacteria; Pseudomonadati; Bacteroidota; Bacteroidia
Description: contains 16S-23S intergenic spacer region
Rfam family: Bacterial small subunit ribosomal RNA
Source: RNAcentral
UACGGAGGAUCCAAGCGUUAUCCGGAUUCACUGGGUUUAAAGGGUGCGUAGGUGGAAAUGUAAGUCAGUGGUGAAAGCCCACAGCCUAACUGUGGAACUGCCAUUGAUACUGCUUUUCUUGAGUAUAGUUGAAGUGGGCGGAAUACGUCAUGUAGCGGUGAAAUGCAUAGAUAUGACGUAGAACACCGAUUGCGAAGGCAGCUCACUAAGCUAUUACUGACACUCAUGCACGAAAGCGUGGGGAGCGAACAGG